GCCUACGGGGCGCAGCAGUCGAGAAUCAUUCACAAUGGGGGAAACCCUGAUGGUGCGACGCCGCGUGGGGGAAUGAAGGUCUUCGGAUUGUAAACCCCUGUCAUGUGGGAGCAAAUUAAAAAGAUAGUACCACAAGAGGAAGAGACGGCUAACUCUGUGCCAGCAGCCGCGGUAAUACAGAGGUCUCAAGCGUUGUUCGGAAUCACUGGGCGUAAAGCGUGCGUAGGCUGUUUCGUAAGUCGUGUGUGAAAGGCGCGGGCUCAACCCGCGGACGGCACAUGAUGCUGCGAGACUAGAGGAAUGGG
Molecule: ribosomal RNA, 305 nt
Filed under: uncultured bacterium
Lineage: Bacteria
Description: bacterial SSU rRNA
Rfam family: Bacterial small subunit ribosomal RNA
Source: RNAcentral